AACGAACGCUGGCGGCAGGCCUAACACAUGCAAGUCGAGCGCCCUUUCGGGGGAGCGGCGGACGGGUGAGUAACGCGUGGGAAUAUGCCCUUCUCUACGGAAUAGCCUCGGGAAACUGAGAGUAAUACCGUAUACGCCCUUUGGGGGAAAGAUUUAUCGGGGAAGGAUUAGCCCGCGUUGGAUUAGGUAGUUGGUGGGGUAAUGGCCUACCAAGCCGACGAUCCAUAGCUGGUUUGAGAGGAUGAUCAGCCACACUGGGACUGAGACACGGCCCAGACUCCUACGGGAAGCAGCAGUGGGGAAUCUUAGACAAUGGGGGCAACCCUGAUCUAGCCAUGCCGCGUGAGUGAUGAAGGCCUUAGGGUUGUAAAGCUCUUUCAGCUGGGAAGAUAAUGACGGUACCAGCAGAAGAAGCCCCGGCUAACUCCGUG
This 431-nucleotide ribosomal RNA is filed under the name uncultured bacterium. Its description in RNAcentral is "partial 16S ribosomal RNA". It matches the Rfam family "Bacterial small subunit ribosomal RNA", at positions 29 to 507 of the family's 1533-position model. The record is from RNAcentral.